Molecule: ribosomal RNA, 253 nt
Filed under: uncultured bacterium
Lineage: Bacteria
Description: partial 16S ribosomal RNA
Rfam family: Bacterial small subunit ribosomal RNA
Source: RNAcentral
UACGUAGGUGGCAAGCGUUGUCCGGAUUUAUUGGGUUUAAAGGGUUCGUAGGUGGCCACUUAAGUCAGACGUGAAAUCCCUCAGCUUAACUGGGGAACUGCGUCUGAUACUGAGUGGCUUGAGUGCAGGAGAGGAAUGCGGAAUUCCAGGUGUAGCGGUGAAAUGCGUAGAUAUCUGGAGGAACACCGGUGGCGAAGGCGGCAUCCUGGACCGGUAUUGACGCUGAGGCGCGAAAGCCAGGGGAGCAAACGGG